GAUGAACGCUGGCGGCGUGCCUAAUACAUGCAAGUCGAGCGAACAGAUAAGGAGCUUGCUCCUUUGAAGUUAGCGGCGGACGGGUGAGUAACACGUGGGUAACCUACCUAUAAGACUGGGAUAACUUCGGGAAACCGGAGCUAAUACCGGAUAACAUUUAGAACCGCAUGGUUCUAGAGUGAAAGAUGGUUUUGCUAUCACUUAUAGAUGGACCCGCGCCGUAUUAGCUAGUUGGUAAGGUAACGGCUUACCAAGGCGACGAUACGUAGCCGACCUGAGAGGGUGAUCGGCCACACUGGAACUGAGACACGGUCCAGACUCCUACGGGAGGCAGCAGUAGGGAAUCUUCCGCAAUGGGCGAAAGCCUGACGGAGCAACGCCGCGUGAGUGAUGAAGGGUUUCGGCUCGUAAAACUCUGUUAUUAGGGAAGAACAAAUGUGUAAGUAACUGUGCACAUCUUGACGGUACCUAAUCAGAAAGCCACGGCUAACUACGUGCCAGCAGCCGCGGUAAUACGUAAGUGGCAAGCGUUAUCCGGAAUUAUUGGGCGUAAAGCGCGCGUAGGCGGUUUCUUAGUCUGAUGUGAAAGCCCACGGCUCAACCGUGGAGGGUCAUUGGAAACUGGGAAACUUGAGUGCAGAAGAGGAAAGUGGAAUUCCAUGUGUAGCGGUGAAAUGCGCAGAGAUAUGGAGGAACACCAGUGGCGAAGGCGACUUUCUGGUCUGUAACUGACGCUGAUGUGCGAAAGCGUGGGGAUCAAACAGGAUUAGAUACCCUGGUAGUCCACGCCGUAAACGAUGAGUGCUAAGUGUUAGGGGGUUUCCGCCCCUUAGUGCUGCAGCUAACGCAUUAAGCACUCCGCCUGGGGAGUACGACCGCAAGGUUGAAACUCAAAGGAAUUGACGGGGACCCGCACAAGCGGUGGAGCAUGUGGUUUAAUUCGAAGCAACGCGAAGAACCUUACCAAAUCUUGACAUCCUUUGAAAACUCUAGAGAUAGAGCCUUCCCCUUCGGGGGACAAAGUGACAGGUGGUGCAUGGUUGUCGUCAGCUCGUGUCGUGAGAUGUUGGGUUAAGUCCCGCAACGAGCGCAACCCUUAAGCUUAGUUGCCAUCAUUAAGUUGGGCACUCUAGGUUGACUGCCGGUGGCAAACCGGAGGAAGGUGGGGAUGACGUCAAAUCAUCAUGCCCCUUAUGAUUUGGGCUACACACGUGCUACAAUGGACAAUACAAAGGGCAGCUAAACCGCGAGGUCAUGCAAAUCCCAUAAAGUUGUUCUCAGUUCGGAUUGUAGUCUGCAACUCGACUACAUGAAGCUGGAAUCGCUAGUAAUCGUAGAUCAGCAUGCUACGGUGAAUACGUUCCCGGGUCU
This 1371-nucleotide ribosomal RNA is filed under the name uncultured bacterium. RNAcentral describes it as "bacterial SSU rRNA". It matches the Rfam family "Bacterial small subunit ribosomal RNA", at positions 28 to 1381 of the family's 1533-position model. The record is from RNAcentral.